Molecule: ribosomal RNA, 430 nt
Filed under: Pseudomonadota bacterium
Lineage: Bacteria; Pseudomonadati; Pseudomonadota
Description: Proteobacteria bacterium partial 16S ribosomal RNA
Rfam family: Bacterial small subunit ribosomal RNA
Source: RNAcentral
UGGGGAAUAUUGGACAAUGGGGGGAACCCUGAUCCAGCCAUGCCGCGUGUGUGAAGAAGGCCUUAUGGUUGUAAAGCACUUUAAGCGAGGAGGAGGGUACUGGUAUUAAUACUACCAGGUACUGGACGUUACUCGCAGAAUAAGCACCGGCUAACUCUGUGCCAGCAGCCGCGGUAAUACAGAGGGUGCGAGCGUUAAUCGGAUUUACUGGGCGUAAAGCGUGCGUAGGUGGUUCGUUAAGUUGAAUGUGAAAGCCCCGGGCUCAACCGGGGAACUGCAUCCAAAACUGGCGAGCUAGAGUAGGGCAGAGGGUGGUGGAAUUUCCUGUGUAGCGGUGAAAUGCGUAGAUAUAGGAAGGAACACCAGUGGCGAAGGCGACCACCUGGGCUCAUACUGACACUGAGGUGCGAAAGCGUGGGGAGCAAACAGG